Molecule: ribosomal RNA, 494 nt
Filed under: uncultured bacterium
Lineage: Bacteria
Description: partial 16S ribosomal RNA
Rfam family: Bacterial small subunit ribosomal RNA
Source: RNAcentral
GACGAACGCUGGCGGCGUGCUUAACACAUGCAAGUCGAACGGUGAAGCGCCUUCCUUUUUGGUGGGUGUGGAUGAGUGGCGAACGGGUGAGUAACACGUGAGUAACCUGCCCCCUUCUUCUGGAUAACCGCAUGAAAGUGUGGCUAAUACGGGAUAUUCUGGGUCUGUCGCAUGAUGGGUCUGGGAAAGAUAUUGUUUCGGUGGGGGAUGGGCUCGCGGCCUAUCAGCUUGUUGGUGGGGUGAUGGCCUACCAAGGCGGUGACGGGUAGCCGGCCUGAGAGGGUGGACGGUAACAGUGGGACUGAGACACGGCCAAGACUCCGACGGGAGGCAGCAGUGGGGAAUAUUGCACAAUGGGCGCAAGGCUGAUGCAGCGACGCCGCGUGAGGGAUGGAGGCCUUCGGGUUGUGAACCUCUUUCGCCAGUGAAGCAGGCCUGCCUCGUUUGUGGGUGGGUUGACGGUAGCUGGAUAAGAAGCGCCGGCUAACUACGUG